GACGAACGCUGGCGGCGUGCUUAACACAUGCAAGUCGAGCGGUAAGGCCCUUUCGGGGGUACGACGAGCGGCGAACGGGUGAGUAACACGUGGGUGACCUGCCCUCAGCUCUGGGAGUAAGCCUGGGAAACCGGGUCUAAUACUGGAUAUGACUCCAUGACGCAUGUUGUGGGGUGGAGAGCCUUGUGCGGCUGAGGAUGGGCCCGCGGCCUAUCAGCUUGUUGGUGGGG
Molecule: ribosomal RNA, 230 nt
Filed under: uncultured bacterium
Lineage: Bacteria
Description: partial 16S ribosomal RNA
Rfam family: Bacterial small subunit ribosomal RNA
Source: RNAcentral